UGAGGGUGAAGCCAUCCCUAAAAAAAAAAAAGACGUAAAGUUGGGUCACCAAACAAGGAUCUUGAUGAAACCAUGGACCCUGAUAUGAAGAGGGGCCCUCCAGAGAGCGCAGAGUCUAUUUCCUCUGGUUUUCUAUCAAUGAAGACUGAGCGAUCCAUGGAUAUCCCUCUUAAUAUCAAAGGAGCAGACUCUCCACAAAACAAAGGGCCAGGAGCGGUA
Long non-coding RNA from Oncorhynchus tshawytscha (Chinook salmon), 219 nucleotides. RefSeq lists it as uncharacterized. The record is from RefSeq and is a predicted model, not a curated record. The transcript has 3 exons. Lineage: Eukaryota; Metazoa; Chordata; Actinopteri; Salmoniformes; Salmonidae.